GAUGAACGCUGGCGGCGUGCUUAAUACAUGCAAGUCGAGCGAACAGAUAAGGAUCUUGCUCCUUUGACGUUAGCGGCGGACGGGUGUGUAACACGUGUGUAACCUCCCUAUAAGACUGGGAUCUCUUCGGGAAACCGGAGAAAAUACGGGAUAACAUUUGGAACCGCAUGGUUCUAUGGUGAAUGUUGGUUUUGCUAUCACUUAUAGAUGGACACGCGCCGUAUGAGAUAGUUGGGAAGUUAACGGCUUAUCACGGCAACGAGACGUAGACGACGUGAGAGGGUGAUCGGCGACACGGGAGCUGAGCCAGGGACCAGACUACUACGGGAGGCAGCAGUCGGGAAUCUUACGCAAUGGGCGAAAGCCUGACGGAGCAACGCGGCGUGUGUGAUAGAGGGGUUCGGCUCGUAAAACUCUGUUAUUAGGGAAGAACAAAUGUGUAAGUAACUGUGCACGUCUUGACGGUAACUAAUCAGAAAGCCACGGCUAACUACGUG
This 497-nucleotide ribosomal RNA is filed under the name uncultured bacterium. RNAcentral describes it as "partial 16S ribosomal RNA". It matches the Rfam family "Bacterial small subunit ribosomal RNA", at positions 28 to 507 of the family's 1533-position model. The record is from RNAcentral.